RNAcentral lists this ribosomal RNA (783 nucleotides) under uncultured Actinomycetes bacterium. Its description in RNAcentral is "bacterial SSU rRNA". It matches the Rfam family "Bacterial small subunit ribosomal RNA", at positions 28 to 827 of the family's 1533-position model. The record is from RNAcentral. Lineage: Bacteria; Bacillati; Actinomycetota; Actinomycetes.
GACGAACGCUGGCGGCGUGCUUAACACAUGCAAGUCGAGCGGAAAGGCCCUUCGGGGUACUCGAGCGGCGAACGGGUGAGUAACACGUGAGCAACCUGCCCUUGGCUUUGGGAUAACCCUCGGAAACGGGGGCUAAUACCGGAUAUCCACUUUCUGUCGCAUGGCGGUUGGUGGAAAGUUUUUCGGCCAGGGAUGGGCUCGCGGCCUAUCAGCUUGUUGGUGGGGUGAUGGCCUACCAAGGCGACGACGGGUAGCCGGCCUGAGAGGGCGACCGGCCACACUGGGACUGAGACACGGCCCAGACUCCUACGGGAGGCAGCAGUGGGGAAUAUUGCACAAUGGGCGAAAGCCUGAUGCAGCGACGCCGCGUGAGGGAUGACGGCCUUCGGGUUGUAAACCUCUUUCAGCAGGGACGAAGCGAGAGUGACGGUACCUGCAGAAGAAGCGCCGGCCAACUACGUGCCAGCAGCCGCGGUAAGACGUAGGGCGCGAGCGUUGUCCGGAAUUAUUGGGCGUAAAGAGCUCGUAGGCGGCUUGUCGCGUCGACUGUGAAAACCCGUGGCUCAACCAUGUGGUCUGCAGUCGAUACGGGCAGGCUAGAAUUCGGUAGGGGAGACUGGAAUUCCUGGUGUAGCGGUGAAAUGCGCAGAUAUCAGGAGGAACACCGGUGGCGAAGGCGGGUCUCUGGGCCGAUAUUGACGCUGAGGAGCGAAAGCGUGGGGAGCGAACAGGAUUAGAUACCCUGGUAGUCCACGCUGUAAACGUUGGGCGCUAGGUGUGGGG